AGCUUUGCGCAGUGGCAGUAUCGUAGCCAAUAAGGUUUAUCCGAGGCACGAUUAUUGCUAAUUGAAAACUUUUCCCAAUCCAUCACCGUGACGACUUGCAAUACAGUCAGCACUGGCAAUUUUUGACAUCUCUACUGAGA
This is a small nuclear RNA of Cebus imitator (Panamanian white-faced capuchin), 140 nucleotides long. RefSeq annotates it as U4 spliceosomal RNA. The transcript has a single exon. Lineage: Eukaryota; Metazoa; Chordata; Mammalia; Primates; Cebidae. The record is from RefSeq and is a predicted model, not a curated record.